UGUAUUCACUACUGUAAGUCGCUCUGGAUAAGAGCGUCUGCUAAAUUACUAAAA
Non-coding RNA from Salmo salar (Atlantic salmon), 54 nucleotides. NCBI's taxonomy places the organism in Eukaryota, Metazoa, Chordata, Actinopteri, Salmoniformes, Salmonidae. The record is from Rfam.